GACUCAGAACCUCAAGUUCCUUCUGGAAAAUUAGCUUAAUAAUUAUCUAUAGUGAGUCUUAAAUAACAUGAAAUAUAUCCAGUGCUUAAGAAAUAGCAUAGUAAGCCCUCACUAAAGAGAAAUUUUUACUUUUACUCUAGAUUCUAGGGAUGAUUUACAGACUAAAAAAGGAAAUGUCUCUUCUCAGCUUAGUUUAAAUAGUUUUAUUGUGAACCAAUUUUGUUUGGGGCAUUCUGCACGGCACUGUGGAUAGUAAGGAAAACCAGGAAUUGUUUCUACUCUCAAGGAAACUUCAGACUACAGAAGAGAGAGGACACAUUCUAAUGAAUAAUAUAUCAAUGUGAGGUGUACUUUAUAAAAACAUGUAGCAUAAAGAAGUGUAUAGGAGAAGGAGUGACCCACCACUAUUGGGGGAGAGGAAAGUUGGAGGAACAAGCCACUUAUCAUGAGCAAGUUUGAGAAGAAUGGAUAUUGUUUACCAGCUAUCAAGGUGUGAAGAGGGGGAAGAAAACUCCAGAGAUACAAAUGGUACGGAGUGAAGGGAGCAUCGCCUUUGGGUAUUCAUUAUUCUGGUGAUCACCUGGGAGUGGCCAAUUUGAAACCACCUUGGCGCUUUUUCUCCAUUUCAGCUCUUCUUUCAACCUUUUAUGGGUGUGGAUUCAAUCCAAUAAACAUUUAGGAGGAAUCUCCAACACCUUGCUAGCUACUGAGAAUAUGAAACUGUUUAUUUUAUGUGUGUUUUUAUUCAAUUCCUGGAAAAACUAAGUAUUGUAAGAUAUGCACACAU
Zalophus californianus (California sea lion) is the source of this 787-nucleotide long non-coding RNA. RefSeq lists it as uncharacterized. The record is from RefSeq and is a predicted model, not a curated record. Lineage: Eukaryota; Metazoa; Chordata; Mammalia; Carnivora; Otariidae. The transcript has 3 exons.